CCCCAAUUGUUUUUGUCAGGACACCUCGCAUUAUUCCCCGUGGAGGACCGUCUGUUACAACAUUGGGAGAUUGAUUGCAAUCUCGACUGUCUCAGCUUCGGCUGCAGGCUGAUAUGGUGCCGUUUUGGUUACCUAUCAAGAGAAGGCUGUGUGUCUGAUGAGUUGAAGCCUUCCCUCGCCCUCGCUGGCAUCCAAAGGAGCUUCUUAGUGAAGACACGCACAUUU
This 225-nucleotide small nucleolar RNA is filed under the name Trichoderma atroviride IMI 206040. RNAcentral's name for it is "Small nucleolar RNA snR191". It matches the Rfam family "Small nucleolar RNA snR191". Lineage: Eukaryota; Fungi; Ascomycota; Sordariomycetes; Hypocreales; Hypocreaceae. The record is from Rfam by way of RNAcentral.